UGCGGAGGGUGCGAGCGUUGUCCGGAAUCACUGGGCGUAAAGGGCGCGUAGGCGGCGCGAGCAGUCGGCGGUGAAAGCCCGGAGCUCAACUCCGGGUCGGCCGUCGAUACUCUCGUGCUCGAGCACUGUAGAGGCAGGUGGAAUUCCGGGUGUAGCGGUGGAAUGCGUAGAGAUCCGGAAGAACACCGGUGGCGAAGGCGGCCUGCUGGGCAGUAGCUGACGCUGAGGCGCGACAGCGUGGGGAGCAAACAGG
This 253-nucleotide ribosomal RNA is filed under the name uncultured bacterium. RNAcentral describes it as "partial 16S ribosomal RNA". It matches the Rfam family "Bacterial small subunit ribosomal RNA", at positions 524 to 776 of the family's 1533-position model. The record is from RNAcentral.